This 1080-nucleotide long non-coding RNA is filed under the name Lupinus angustifolius (narrow-leaved blue lupine). Its description in RNAcentral is "long non-coding RNA (LANG_LNC001830)". Lineage: Eukaryota; Viridiplantae; Streptophyta; Magnoliopsida; Fabales; Fabaceae. The record is from RNAcentral.
GCCGACCCUCCAAUAUAGUUCUAAUUUUUCUUCAAAUUUAUAGAAUUCUUUGGUUAGGAACUGUAACAGUGUUAAUGAUGUUUCCUAGUAACCAAUUAGGAAUUUGUGUAUUUGGUUUUCAAGUUUACUCUUCAAAGUAUAUGUUUCACAAUUUUAGUGGCGAGAUAACUUGGUAUGAGGAUAGUUUUUAUUCUCUUUUAUUGUUAUUUAGACUUACGCUGCAAUUUACUAGUUCUGAGUUUUUCCUGAGAAAAUUGAAGCUCAAUUCCGUUGAUUUUGAAUUUAGUUAGUGCAUAUACUGGCUACUAUCAUGAUCUAUGCUUUUAUUUGAACUUGCAUUAGUUAGUUGCAUAUUUUGAUCUGAAUACAGAAUGUAGAAAGCUAGGUGAAGUAGUCUAAAGCAAAGGGUCUGAGGUUAUGGUUGGUAUAAUGUCAUUAACAUGCUCUGAUUUCAUUACUUUAUAAAUGUGAUUGGAUUGGAUGAGUUAAUGAAUGUUAUUGUGAAUUUGAGAUUCACCUCUCAGUUUUAGAUUUAUUAUAAUUCAAUUGUUAUACGUUUGUCAUUGUCGUGACUCUUUCUAUGAUAUAACAGAAAUCAGGGCCUGAAACCUAUCUUUUUGCUCUUGUCCUGUGAAUUUCUCUUUUUUGAUCAUUGUAUGACUGCGGAUAUUAAGCAUGAUUGUUUUUGGGUUUUAAAACUGAUUUGUAAAUUGAUGAAUGAUUGCUUGACAUAUAGAAUUAUAACUCAUUAACUGUUCUGACUUCAAAUUUGAACCAUAUAUAUCUCUUGAUUUUCAGCAUUUGCCGAGAUAUUUUCAUAUUAUAAUUAGUAGCUCCUGAUGGGUGGAAAUGAUUUAAAUUCAAUUUUCGAAAUAAACCAGAGCUUAUCUUGGAUGUUGUUUUUAGUUUUAACUUCUUACAAUAUAUCACUUUUUAUUAGCCAAAUCCCAGCAAUAUUUUCCAAGUGAUGGCUUAUUCCAAACACCACUCUUCCUCAUACCUAAUCCUCCUGUUGAUUUCCUUUGACAGGCUGAGUCCCAAGCCACAAGUGCAUGAUAGUGGCCACUAUCAUUUCCCCCC